Molecule: ribosomal RNA, 253 nt
Filed under: uncultured bacterium
Lineage: Bacteria
Description: partial 16S ribosomal RNA
Rfam family: Bacterial small subunit ribosomal RNA
Source: RNAcentral
UACGUAGGUGGCAAGCGUUGUCCGGAUUUACUGGGCGUAAAGAGCGCGCAGGCGGUCGUUCAAGUCGCGUGUGAAAGCCCCCGGCUCAACUGGGGAGGGUCACGCGAUACUGAUCGACUCGAAGGCAGGAGAGGGUAGUGGAAUUCCUGGUGUAGCGGUGAAAUGCGCAGAUAUCAGGAGGAACACCAAUGGCGAAGGCAGCACUCUGGGACGUGACUGACGCUGAGACGCGAAAGCGUGGGGAGCAAACAGG